RNAcentral lists this transfer RNA (72 nucleotides) under Sus scrofa (pig). It matches the Rfam family "tRNA". Rfam says of the family: Transfer RNA (tRNA) molecules are approximately 80 nucleotides in length. Their secondary structure includes four short double-helical elements and three loops (D, anti-codon, and T loops). Further hydrogen bonds mediate the characteristic L-shaped molecular structure. tRNAs have two regions of fundamental functional importance: the anti-codon, which is responsible for specific mRNA codon recognition, and the 3' end, to which the tRNAs corresponding amino acid is attached (by aminoacyl-tRNA synthetases). tRNAs cope with the degeneracy of the genetic code in two manners: having more than one tRNA (with a specific anti-codon) for a particular amino acid; and 'wobble' base-pairing, i.e. permitting non-standard base-pairing at the 3rd anti-codon position. Lineage: Eukaryota; Metazoa; Chordata; Mammalia; Artiodactyla; Suidae. The record is from Rfam by way of RNAcentral.
UCCCUGGUAGUCUAGUGGUUAGAACUCAGUGCUUUCAGUGCUGCGACCUGGGUUCAGUACCUGGUCUGGGAA